GCUUCAGAAAGGCUCGGACACUUAUUGGCAAGGAAAUGGAUUCUGAAGAAGAAUGUGAGGAAUGUGAUGAAGAGGAAGGUUCUAAAGUGGAGUCAGAGUCUUGUGUGGCAAGCCUAUCCCUUGCUACCACAUUUGUCAACAAGUCCAUCUUCGACCUUUAAGAAAAUGACAACGUCAACAACGCUGAUGACUAUGAUGACGACUU
This 205-nucleotide long non-coding RNA is filed under the name Hordeum vulgare. RNAcentral describes it as "long non-coding RNA (HVUL_LNC015777)". The record is from RNAcentral. Lineage: Eukaryota; Viridiplantae; Streptophyta; Magnoliopsida; Poales; Poaceae.